GUCUUCCCUGCUUUUGCCUCUGCACUGGCCUUUACCUGAGUAAAAAUGAAAUCAUAGCAACAUCAAAAUAAUACAAGUCGUGUUUACGUGCAGGGAUAGUUUUGUGAGAAGAAAGUCAACGUGUAAAUACAUUUCUUUUUUUUCUACUUACGUGAU
Molecule: long non-coding RNA, 156 nt
Organism: Sander lucioperca (pikeperch)
Lineage: Eukaryota; Metazoa; Chordata; Actinopteri; Perciformes; Percidae
Exons: 3
Source: RefSeq, a predicted model, not a curated record